Molecule: transfer RNA, 81 nt
Filed under: compost metagenome
Description: tRNA-Arg
Source: RNAcentral
GGGCAACUGGAUGGCCAGAGCGGCGCCGGUCUCGCUGCGGCCGAGGCUGCGGGCGGCCCCGAUCAUGGCGGGGGUGACCUU